GGAUCUCUAUCCUUCUUACCCAAUUUCCAAAGUUUUUUUUUUCCCGGCUUAGUUUUAGAUAUAAAUCUACCUA
Molecule: transfer RNA, 73 nt
Filed under: Strophostyles umbellata
Lineage: Eukaryota; Viridiplantae; Streptophyta; Magnoliopsida; Fabales; Fabaceae
Description: tRNA-Glu
Source: RNAcentral